This 301-nucleotide ribosomal RNA is filed under the name uncultured bacterium. Its description in RNAcentral is "partial 16S ribosomal RNA". It matches the Rfam family "Bacterial small subunit ribosomal RNA", at positions 509 to 808 of the family's 1533-position model. The record is from RNAcentral.
CAGUCGCCACGGUAAUACGUAUGUCACAAGCGUUAUCCGGAUUUAUUGGGCGUAAAGCGCGUCUAGGUGGUUAUGUAAGUCUGAUGUGAAAAUGCAGGGCUCAACUCUGUAUUGCGUUGGAAACUGUGUAACUAGAGUACUGGAGAGGUAAGCGGAACUACAAGUGUAGAGGUGAAAUUCGUAGAUAUUUGUAGGAAUGCCGAUGGGGAAGCCAGCUUACUGGACAGAUACUGACGCUAAAGCGCGAAAGCGUGGGUAGCAAACAGGAUUAGAUACCCCCGUAGUCCCUGUCUCUUAUACA